Long non-coding RNA from Choloepus didactylus (southern two-toed sloth), 825 nucleotides. RefSeq lists it as uncharacterized. Lineage: Eukaryota; Metazoa; Chordata; Mammalia; Pilosa; Megalonychidae. The record is from RefSeq and is a predicted model, not a curated record. The transcript is spliced from 3 exons.
CGAGCUAGUGGAGUUGGGUGUCGAUCUGGAAGGGGACGGCGCUUCCCACCGGAGCCCCUGGACACAGCACCCUCUCUGCGUCUCCACCCUGCGAACCCUGAGUCCUCCGAGGUCAGGAUCCUGCGGAUGGAAGCGUCAUCCUUAGCACCCUGAUUUGAACAGAAGUGCCGACAUCCUAACCCGCCGCCUGACCUCACCGUGACCCUGGGUCUGCGGGCACAGCUGCACAGUUGUGAGAAAGGGAUUGAGGCUUGAAGAUCCUGUAGGUGUGUUCAUGGUUCUCCAUGACCAGGGUUAAAUAAUUGUUGGGCAGUUACCAAACUGCUGAAAUCCUGGAUUGAGACACUUCUAGUGACUACCUGUAGUAAAUACCAGCCUCUCUUCUUUUGGAACUUGCAGUUUUGGGGAGCAAAUCAAAGGCUAGUUGUUAACCACAGGAAGCAGGAAAGAAGUUCUCAAGGUGAGAAAUGGAGACUUCGCAUUGACUUCUAAAGGGUGGGCAAGGGCUACCUGGAAAGAAAGAAUUCUGACUUCAUGGCUUUAUUUAUUCCAAAGAAUUAGGUGGGAAGAUAAACAUUUCAUUAGUUCAAGAAAAAUCUCGAAACACUCCAUGGGGCCGGCAGAAGAUUUGUCAAAUAAAUCACGACUGUGGGAAAAGUGGGUCAGAUGCUCAUUCACAGGCCUGAAGGACGUCCCUGAUACAUUGUACAACAGAAAGGGCACGGCAAGACAUUUUCCAAGAUAGGAGCCCUCCUGGAGUGCUGAGCUUCCAUCCAUGACACCAAAUGACAUUUAGUCACCCAAUCUCCUUGGGUUAUGCUUGAC